Molecule: ribosomal RNA, 446 nt
Filed under: uncultured bacterium
Lineage: Bacteria
Description: bacterial SSU rRNA
Rfam family: Bacterial small subunit ribosomal RNA
Source: RNAcentral
GAUGAACGCUGGCGGUAUGCUUUACACAUGCAAGUCGUACGAGAGUUUUUAACUCAAGUGGCGGACGGGUGAGUAACACGUAAGAAUUUACCUUUAGGAGGGGGACAACAACGGGAAACUGUUGCUAAUACCCCAUAUGCUUUCGAGUGAAACGGAUUUUUCCGCCUGAAGAGAAGCUUGCGGCUGAUUAGCUUGUUGGUGAGGUAAUGGCUUACCAAGGCGACGAUCAGUAUCUGGUUUGAGAGGACGAUCAGACACACUGGAACUGAGACACGGUCCAGACUCCUACGGGAGGCAGCAGUGGGGAAUUUCCGCAAUGGCGAAAGCCUGACGGAGCAAGACCGCGUGGGGGAGGAAGGUUUUUGGAUCGUAAACCCCUUUUGUCAAGGAAGAAGCUCUGACGGUACUUGACGAAUAAGCCUCGGCUAACUCCGUGCCAGCGCCGC